RNAcentral lists this ribosomal RNA (468 nucleotides) under uncultured bacterium. Its description in RNAcentral is "partial 16S ribosomal RNA". It matches the Rfam family "Bacterial small subunit ribosomal RNA", at positions 28 to 507 of the family's 1533-position model. The record is from RNAcentral.
GACGAACGCUGGCGGCGUGCUUAACACAUGCAAGUCGAACGGAAAGGCCCUGCUUUUGUGGGGUGCUCGAGUGGCGAACGGGUGAGUAACACGUGAGUAACCUGCCCUUGACUUUGGGAUAACUUCAGGAAACUGGGGCUAAUACCGGAUAGGAGCUCCUGCUGCAUGGUGGGGGUUGGAAAGUUUCGGCGGUUGGGGAUGGACUCGCGGCUUAUCAGCUUGUUGGUGGGGUAGUGGCUUACCAAGGCUUUGACGGGUAGCCGGCCUGAGAGGGUGACCGGCAACAUUGGGACUGGGAUACGGCCCAGACUCCUACGGGAGGCAGCAGUGGGGAAUAUUGCACAAUGGGCGGAAGCCUGAUGCAGCAACGCCGCGUGCGGGAUGACGGCCUUCGGGUUGUAAACCGCUUUCGCCUGUGACGAAGCGUGAGUGACGGUAAUGGGUAAAGAAGCACCGGCUAACUACGUG